This is a non-coding RNA of Myotis lucifugus (little brown bat), 75 nucleotides long. NCBI's taxonomy places the organism in Eukaryota, Metazoa, Chordata, Mammalia, Chiroptera, Vespertilionidae. The record is from Rfam.
ACCAUUGAUGAUCUUCGAGACAAGAUUCUUGGUGCCACCACUGAGAACUCCAAGAUUGUCCUGCAGAUUAACAAU